UACGGAGGAUGCAAGCGUUAUCCGGAAUUAUUGGGCGUAAAGCGUCCGCAGGUGGUACAUCAAGUCUGCUGUCAAAGACCGGAGCUCAACUCCGGGCAGGCAGUGGAAACUGGUGAACUAGAGUACGGUAGGGGUAGAGGGAAUUCCCAGUGUAGCGGUGAAAUGCGUAGAGAUUGGGAAGAACACCAGUGGCGAAGUCGCUCUACUGGGCCGUAACUGACACUCAGGGACGAUAGCUAGGGGAGCGAAAGGG
Molecule: ribosomal RNA, 253 nt
Filed under: uncultured bacterium
Lineage: Bacteria
Description: partial 16S ribosomal RNA
Rfam family: Bacterial small subunit ribosomal RNA
Source: RNAcentral